CCCUCAGCAUAUCCAAAACCCUCCUCUUUGGCCUCCCUCUCCUCCAGCCUGGUGGCUCCAUCCUCAGCAUCCUUCUUCCUAUAUGCCCUGGGUCCCUCCUCUGCACAUGUCCAAACCAUUUCAAUCUCACCUCGCUGACUUUGUCUUCAAAUCGUCCCACAUGAUGAGGAUA
Thalassophryne amazonica is the source of this 172-nucleotide long non-coding RNA. RefSeq lists it as uncharacterized. The record is from RefSeq and is a predicted model, not a curated record. Lineage: Eukaryota; Metazoa; Chordata; Actinopteri; Batrachoidiformes; Batrachoididae. The transcript is spliced from 3 exons.